GACGAACGCUGGCGGCGUGCUUAACACAUGCAGGUCGAACGGAAAGGCCCUGCUUUUGUGGGGUGCUCGAGUGGCGAACGGGUGAGUAACACGUGAGUAACCUGCCCUUGACUUUGGGAUAACUUCAGGAAACUGGGGCUAAUACCGGAUAGGAGCUCCUGCUGCAUGGUGGGGGUUGGAAAGUUUCGGCGGUUGGGGAUGGACUCGCGGCUUAUCAGCGUGUUGGUGGGGUAGUGGCUUACCAAGGCUUUGACGGGUAGCCGGCCUGAGAGGGUGACCGGCCACAUUGGGACUGAGAUACGGCCCAGACUCCUACGGGAGGCAGCAGUGGGGAAUAUUGCACAAUGGGCGGAAGCCUGAUGCAGCAACGCCGCGUGCGGGAUGACGGCCUUCGGGUUGUAAACCGCUUUCGCCUGUGACGAAGCGUGAGUGACGGUAAUGGGUAAAGAAGCACCGGCUAACUACGUG
This 468-nucleotide ribosomal RNA is filed under the name uncultured bacterium. RNAcentral's name for it is "partial 16S ribosomal RNA". It matches the Rfam family "Bacterial small subunit ribosomal RNA", at positions 28 to 507 of the family's 1533-position model. The record is from RNAcentral.